Molecule: ribosomal RNA, 399 nt
Filed under: uncultured bacterium
Lineage: Bacteria
Description: bacterial SSU rRNA
Rfam family: Bacterial small subunit ribosomal RNA
Source: RNAcentral
UCGAGAGGCUUCCACAAUGGGGGAAACCCUGAUGGAGCGACGCCGCGUGGGUGAUGAAGGUCUUCGGAUCGUAAAACCCUUUCAGCAGAGAAGAAGUGAUUAAGUAUUAAUACCAUUUAGUCAAAGACGGUAUCUGCAUAAGAAGCUCCGGCUAACUCCGUGCCAGCAGCCGCGGUAAUACGGGGGGAGCAAGCGUUGUUCGGAUUUACUGGGCGUAAAGGGCGUCUAGGCGGAAUAAUAAGUCAGCUGUGAAAUCCCUCGGCUCAACCGGGGAGUUGCAUUUGAUACUGUUAUUCUUGAGUACAAGAGAGGAAAGCGGAAUUCCAGGUGUAGCGGUGAAAUGCGUAGAUAUCUGGAAGAACACCAGUGGCGAAGGCGGCUUUCUGGCUUGUUACUGAC